AGUGAACGCUGGCGGUAGGCCUAACACAUGCAAGUCGAACGGCAGCACAGUAAGAGCUUGCUCUUACGGGUGGCGGGUGGCGGACGGGUGAGGACUACAUCGGAAUCUACUUUUUCGUGGGGGAUAACGUAGGGAAACUUACGCUAAUACCGCAUACGACCUACGGGUGAAAGCAGGGGAUCUUCGGACCUUGUGCGAUUGAAUGAGCUGAUGUCGGAUUAGCUGGUUGGCGGGGUAAAGGCCCACCAAGGCGACGAUCCGUAGCAGGGCCGAGAGGAUGAUCAGCCACACUAGAACUGAGACGCGGUCCAGACUCCUACGGGAGGCAGCAGUGGGGAAUAUUGGACAAUGGGCGCAAGCCUGAUCCAGCCAUACCGCGUGGGUGAAGAAGGCCUUCGGGUUGUAAAGCCCUUUUGUUGGGAAAGAAAAGCAGCAGGUUAAUACCCCGCUGUUCUGACGGUACCCAAAGAAUAAGCACCGGCUAACUUCGUG
Molecule: ribosomal RNA, 492 nt
Filed under: uncultured bacterium
Lineage: Bacteria
Description: partial 16S ribosomal RNA
Rfam family: Bacterial small subunit ribosomal RNA
Source: RNAcentral